CUUAAAUUGAAGAGUUUGAUCAUGGCUCAGAUUGAACGCUGGCGGCAGGCCUAACACAUGCAAG
Molecule: ribosomal RNA, 64 nt
Filed under: Vibrio parahaemolyticus
Lineage: Bacteria; Pseudomonadati; Pseudomonadota; Gammaproteobacteria; Vibrionales; Vibrionaceae
Description: partial 16S ribosomal RNA
Source: RNAcentral